GCAUAAGCCUCAACGACAAAUUCAACCGAAGCCUCAACCGAAAAAACCGCCAACGGUUGAUCAAAAAUCUAAACAAACGGCACCAAACGUCGACAAGCCGAGAAAACCAAAGAUCCGACAAGUUUGGAUCCGGAAAGGUGAUAUCUUUCCUUGCUCCUCGUCUUAGUCAUUUUUGAUUUUUAGUGUAAUGCUUUGAUUGGUGCUCGUUGUUUAAUUUUAUUCAUUGCAUUACAUGUUUGAAUGAUUUUUGGUGCAUUGAAUUUUUGUUUUAUUUAAAAAUUAUUUUGAGGAAAAGGUGUUUGGGAAUUUCAAAAUCUUUGAGAAAAGAGAUAAUUGAG
RNAcentral lists this long non-coding RNA (338 nucleotides) under Ananas comosus (pineapple). Its description in RNAcentral is "long non-coding RNA (ACOM_LNC026855)". The record is from RNAcentral. Lineage: Eukaryota; Viridiplantae; Streptophyta; Magnoliopsida; Poales; Bromeliaceae.